Cricetulus griseus (Chinese hamster) is the source of this 764-nucleotide non-coding RNA. The record is from RefSeq and is a predicted model, not a curated record. NCBI's taxonomy places the organism in Eukaryota, Metazoa, Chordata, Mammalia, Rodentia, Cricetidae.
CCAGUGGCAGUAUGUGAGCCACUGGCAAGAGAGGGCACCAGCGAAAGGCAUCCUCUAUAAGACCACUCCAUGCUUAAUGAAAGAAGAGAUGGCAUGGCACAGGAUCUACCGGAACAAGGCAGCAACAUCGAAUUUGAAACCAUUUACAUUGAUGAUAAAGCUCAAGUAAAACUGUAGGGGAAUUUCCUGGGAAACAACAGAUUCUUUUGACUUAAUGGUACAAGAAAGUUUGAAAUUACAUCUGAAAUUUUAUCUCAGCUGGAUGCUGUAAUGGAGUAUGUACUGUCAUCUGAGGGCUUGAUUUGGUUGGCUGACUUACUCAUCAUUGCACUGCUAUAUCCUGUCACAUGCUGCUGAGGAACUGAGCAGGUCUGGAGGCUGAGGAAAGCUGCUUUCGGACCUGAGCAAAUAACAGCUACAAAAAUAAAUCAAGACCAAUCAGUGCAGUUAUUUAGGCUUAAGAGGUCUGGCAGAACCCUCAUGGACAUGAAGGACCAGAAUUGAAGAUACAUUUAAUAAUAUAUAUGUAUACAGUUUUGAAUUAUUCAAAAGGAAUCAUGAUGAAAUUCAUCUGUGAAUGCUAUCAACAGACUGACACCCUCUUUCUGAGAGAUGCUUAUAGCAAUGAAGUAUCUUCAAGAUCUUGAAGAGAAGACCUUGUGAUAAAUAAUCUUUUAUGAGCCUUGUGAUUCUCAUUUAAUUAAAGAUGAACUGGAUAAGCUUUCUAUCUCUCCUUGGGAUUUUUAAUAAAAGUUAAAAAUAAU